AGAUCUUCGGAUCUAGUGGCAGACGGGUGAGUAACGCGUGGGAAUCUACCUGGUACUUCGGAAUAACUGAGGGAAACUUCAGCUAAUACCGGAUACGCCCUUUUGGGGAAAGAUUUAUCGGUAUCAGAUGAGCCCGCGUAAGAUUAGCUAGUUGGUGAGGUAAUGGCUCACCAAGGCGACGAUCUUUAGCUGGUCUGAGAGGAUGAUCAGCCACACUGGGACUGAGACACGGCCCAGACUCCUACGGGAGGCAGCAGUGGGGAAUAUUGGACAAUGGGGGCAACCCUGAUCCAGCCAUGCCGCGUGAGUGAUGAAGGCCUUAGGGUUGUAAAGCUCUUUCACCGGUGAAGAUAAUGACGGUAACCGGAGAAGAAGCCCCGGCUAACUUCGUGCCAGC
Molecule: ribosomal RNA, 397 nt
Filed under: Devosia yakushimensis
Lineage: Bacteria; Pseudomonadati; Pseudomonadota; Alphaproteobacteria; Hyphomicrobiales; Devosiaceae
Description: bacterial SSU rRNA
Rfam family: Bacterial small subunit ribosomal RNA
Source: RNAcentral